RNAcentral lists this ribosomal RNA (400 nucleotides) under uncultured bacterium. Its description in RNAcentral is "bacterial SSU rRNA". It matches the Rfam family "Bacterial small subunit ribosomal RNA", at positions 356 to 773 of the family's 1533-position model. The record is from RNAcentral.
GGGGAAUAUUGCGCAAUGGGCGCAAGCCUGACGCAGCGACGCCGCGUGAGCGAUGAAGGCCUUCGGGUUGUAAAGCUCUGUCAGAGAGGAAGAUCGUGACGGUACCCUCAGAGGAAGCCCCGGCUAACUACGUGCCAGCAGCCGCGGUAAGACGUAGGGGGCGAGCGUUGUCCGGAAUUACUGGGCGUAAAGGGCGUGUAGGCGGCCAGGCAAGUCAGUGGUGAAAAACCUGGGCUCAACCGAGGUAUUGCCGUUGAAACUGUCUGGCUUGAGGGUAGAAGAGGAGUGUGGAAUUCCCGGUGUAGCGGUGAAAUGCGUAGAGAUCGGGAGGAACACCAGUGGCGAAGGCGGCACUCUGGUCUAUACCUGACGCUGAGGCGCGAAAGCCAGGGGAGCAAAC